GAUGAACGCUGGCGGCGUGCUUAACACAUGCAAGUCGAACGGAAAGGCCACAGCUUGCUGUGGUACUCGAGUGGCGAACGGGUGAGUAACACGUGGUUGAUCUGCCCUGUACUUCGGGAUAAGCUUGGGAAACUGGGUCUAAUACCGGAUAGGAAUCACAUGUGGGUGUGUGGUUGGAAAGCUUUUGCGGUAUGGGAUGAGCUCGCGGCCUAUCAGCUUGUUGGUGGGGUAAUGGCCUACCAAGGCGUCGACGGGUAGCCGGCCUGAGAGGGUGUACGGCCACAUUGGGACUGAGAUACGGCCCAGACUCCUACGGGAGGCAGCAGUGGGGAAUAUUGCACAAUGGGCGCAAGCCUGAUGCAGCGACGCCGCGUGGGGGAUGACGGCCUUCGGGUGGUAAACUCCUUUCGGCAGGGACGAAGCGAAAGUGACGGUACCUGGAUAAGAAGCACCGGCUAACUACGUG
RNAcentral lists this ribosomal RNA (466 nucleotides) under uncultured bacterium. RNAcentral describes it as "partial 16S ribosomal RNA". It matches the Rfam family "Bacterial small subunit ribosomal RNA", at positions 28 to 507 of the family's 1533-position model. The record is from RNAcentral.